GGAUCUUGAAGUUAGCUUGUGAGAAGUGAACUUAGAAAGACAUAGGAGCCAGAGUCUCUGCAAUGGUUCAAUGCUCUUCAUCAGAAGUUUGCGAUGAAUGAGCUGAUGUCUUCAAGGUUCUGAAAAGGGGAAUAAACAAGGAAAGUUAACCAAAAGAUUAACUAUGGCUUCAAAAACUUCAAAUGACAGCAUGUUUAGCUAUGACAGUAAAUAUUGUCCCAUAAUGUGCAAAGACAAUAGCAUAUGUAAAAAAGAAUAUAGAAAAUUGACAAAAGGAAAUGCAUUAAUCUGUUUGUUAAAAAAAAAAAAGAGUAGCAGCAAGAAUUAUAAAGGACAAAAUACAACCAUGUGCUGUCUGCUAGUGAAUCAGUUUAUACUCAAAGAUGCAAAGAAGAUGGAAGUAAAAGGAUGAAUAAGGGCUCCUGGGUAUUUAGUCAUGACUUUUUUAUUUUGUGCCCUACAAGCAAGUUUUUAUGACAAGAUGAAUUAGUUUUCUGUUGCUGUAUAAAAACACCAUGACGAAGGAAGCUUAUGGAAGAAAGAAUUGAUAGGGACUGAUGGUUCCAGGGCAUU
This 573-nucleotide long non-coding RNA is filed under the name Mus musculus (house mouse). RNAcentral's name for it is "predicted gene, 47684". The record is from RNAcentral. Lineage: Eukaryota; Metazoa; Chordata; Mammalia; Rodentia; Muridae.